Molecule: ribosomal RNA, 253 nt
Filed under: uncultured bacterium
Lineage: Bacteria
Description: partial 16S ribosomal RNA
Rfam family: Bacterial small subunit ribosomal RNA
Source: RNAcentral
UACGUAGGGGGCGAGCGUUGUUCGGAAUUACUGGGCGUAAAGAGCUCGUAGGUGGUUUGUCGCGUUGUUCGUGAAAUCUCACGGCUUAACUGUGAGCGUGCGGGCGAUACGGGCAGACUAGAGUACUGCAGGGGAGACUGGAAUUCCUGGUGUAGCGGUGGAAUGCGCAGAUAUCAGGAGGAACACCGGUGGCGAAGGCGGGUCUCUGGGCAGUAACUGACACUGAGGAGCGAAAGCGUGGGGAGCGAACAGG